Molecule: ribosomal RNA, 1034 nt
Filed under: Ovis canadensis (bighorn sheep)
Lineage: Eukaryota; Metazoa; Chordata; Mammalia; Artiodactyla; Bovidae
Description: partial 16S ribosomal RNA
Rfam family: Bacterial large subunit ribosomal RNA
Source: RNAcentral
GUCCAGAAAAUGAAUUUUAGUUCAGCUUUAAAGAUACCAAAAACACAAAUAAAUUUUACUGUAUUUUUAAAAGUUAGUCUAAAAAGGUACAGCCUUUUAGAAAUGGGUACAACCUUCACUAGAGAGUAAGAUCUAAAAACACCAUAGUAGGCCUAAAAGCAGCCAUCAAUUAAGAAAGCGUUAAAGCUCAACAAUAAUAAUAACAUUAAUCCCAGCAAUAAUAUAGCCAACUCCUAGAUUUAAUACUGGACUAUUCUAUUAUUAAAUAGAAGCAAUAAUGUUAAUAUGAGUAACAAGAAAUAUUUUCUCCUCGCACAAGUUUAAGUCAGUAACUGAUAAUACCCUGACCGUUAACAGUAAAUAAAAACAAUCCAACAAUAAAUGAUUUAUUACUUAUACUGUUAACCCAACACAGGAGUGCACCUAGGAAAGAUUCAAAGAAGUAAAAGGAACUCGGCAAACACAAACCCCGCCUGUUUACCAAAAACAUCACCUCCAGCAUCCCUAGUAUUGGAGGCACUGCCUGCCCAGUGACUAAACGUUAAACGGCCGCGGUAUUCUGACCGUGCAAAGGUAGCAUAAUCAUUUGUUCUCUAAAUAAGGACUUGUAUGAAUGGCCACACGAGGGUUUUACUGUCUCUUACUUCCAAUCAGUGAAAUUGACCUCCCCGUGAAGAGGCGGGGAUAAAUCAACAAGACGAGAAGACCCUAUGGAGCUUUAACUAACUAAUCCAAGGAAAAUAAAUUUAAUCACCAAGAGAUAACAACACUCCUCAUGGAUUAGCAGUUUCGGUUGGGGUGACCUCGGAGAACAGAAAAUCCUCCGAGCGAUUUUAAAGACUAGACUAACAAGUCAAACCAAACCAUCGCUUAUUGAUCCAAAAACUUGAUCAACGGAACAAGUUACCCUAGGGAUAACAGCGCAAUCCUAUUCAAGAGUCCAUAUCGACAAUAGGGUUUACGACCUCGAUGUUGGAUCAGGACACCCCGAUGGUGCAACCGCUAUCAAAGGUUCGUUUGUUCAACGAUUAAAG